RNAcentral lists this ribosomal RNA (502 nucleotides) under uncultured Planctomycetota bacterium. Its description in RNAcentral is "bacterial SSU rRNA". It matches the Rfam family "Bacterial small subunit ribosomal RNA", at positions 117 to 643 of the family's 1533-position model. Lineage: Bacteria; Pseudomonadati; Planctomycetota. The record is from RNAcentral.
AUGGGUACCUACCUUCGGGUUCGGGAUAGCCAUCAGAGAUGGUGGGUAAUACCGGAUGACGUCGUGAGACCAAAGAUUUAUCGCCCGGAGAGGGGCCCAUGUGAUAUUAGCUAGUUGGUGAGGUAACGGCUCACCAAGGCGAAGAUGUCUAGCGGGUGUGAGAGCACGACCCGCGCCACUCGCACUGAGACACUGGCGAGACACCUACGGGUGGCUGCAGUCGAGGAUCUUCGGCAAUGGGCGCAAGCCUGACCGAGCGACGCCGCGUGAGCGAUGAAGGCCUUCGGGUUGUAAAGCUCUUUAGUGGGGGAGAAAAGCCCGCAAGGGUGUGAUCUAUCCCAAAAAUAAGCACGGGCUAAGUUCGUGCCAGCAGCCGCGGUAAGACGAACCGUGCGAACGUUGUUCGGAAUCACUGGGCUUAAAGGGAGCGUAGGCGGGCUAUCAAGUCUGGGGUGAAAUGCCACGGCUCAACCGUGGAACGGCCUCAGAUACUGACGGCCUC